Molecule: long non-coding RNA, 3009 nt
Filed under: Homo sapiens (human)
Lineage: Eukaryota; Metazoa; Chordata; Mammalia; Primates; Hominidae
Description: HSALNT0197746
Source: RNAcentral
UCCGCUGCCCUGCAGGGAUCUGCCAUCCCAGGCACUGCACGUUGCAAGAUAAGGGACGUUGCACAUCCUUCACCUGGGAAACUUCUGGACUCCUAACUUCACCUGGGAAACUUCUGGACUCCUGGGACGUGCUCUCCUCCAUUUUCCCGGCUGCAUCGAGUUCAUGGUCUGUCUGCACACGUGAGGCCACCUGCCAGGCCACAUCCCAGCACAGGCGUCAUCCAGUGAUUUCCUCAUCGGCCAGAGUCUGCGUCUGCAGCUUUGUGAGCCACGCGGCCAUGGCCUGACUCUGUGCCGAGAGCCCCGCAGCGGUGGCCACAGACAAUAGGAGGCUGCUUCGUGCUCUCAGCCCUCGUGCUCAUUCUUGGGGCAGCUUGAAUGGAAAGCCAGCAUCACAGCAGCACCCAGGGGGGCCGGGAAGGGGCUGACUUCAGUGGAGCUUCGAGGAUUUCCCAUCUUUCCUGCAGGGCUAGCGGCCCAGGUUGGAAUCAUACCUCAUCCCCUUCCUAAAUCCUCCCUCUACCCUGGGCACCUGAGGCUGGAAGAGGCAGAUGCAGGGCUAUGAUCAGACUGUCCAGCCCGACCCCUCUCUGGCUGUGUGACCCUGACCAGUCACCUGCCCUCUCUGUGAGCGUCGGGGCCCAUAAGGGAACAGCUGAUCCAAGGCCCGGUCCCCUGACCACCCCCUGCCGCACUCCAGCUCCCACCCAAUGGGCUGGCUCUAGUGGCAGAGGCACCCAGGGGUCCCAGCAGCCCUGCCCCGCCCCAACCCCACGGCCCCCCUUCCCCAGAGGCUGACCUGGGUGAAGUCCCACAGCCGCUGUGUUGGCCGCGCCACAUCCUCACACUUCUUCAGGGUGGGCAUGCGGCCCGUGCCGUCAUCCACCAGACACUUGGAGUCAGGCAAGAAGGCUGUGGAGCCCAGAGGCCCCAGCUGCAGCAGUCCAUCAGCGCUGUACCGCACCAGCUGGGGACAGGACCACCGGGACUGUGUGUGAGCAGCGCCCAGGCUCUCCCCAGUGAGCACUGACAGGCCGUGCGAGCUGCCUUGAGCUGCAAACGGGGCCCUGCGCGGCUGCCUUGGAGCCUCCCACCCCGGGGACGCUGUUGCGGGCGGGAGAGGACCGCCGGGCAGGGCCCACGUGGGGAUGCGGGCUGGACGGCGCCCAAAUGCUCCGCAGGGCCAGGCUCCCGGCUUGCACAGCUGGCUGGUCUUCCGCCUGGACAGACGUCAUGAAUGUGGCUCAGACCCAGAGCGCGGCCCCACUCGUUUCGGGGAGGACAGGAGUUGGGUUUAAUUUGGGCAACAUGCAGUGCCGUGUGUGAGCGGAACACGCAUUCCCGUGGGGUUAGAAACGUCCAGCUCCUUAUGGGGGUCAUGGUCAGAAUGGCCUGGACCUUCACUACGGCCAGCCCCUGACCACUGUGAUUCUGCGGGGCUGGGGCUGGGGCUGGGCCUGGGCCUGUGCUGCAGGUGAGUCCUGCCCAGGUGGGGAGUGCUCGGAGGUCAACAGCACUAUUGCCGUGUUAAUCCACCCCCCGAGCCAAUGCUUCCCACACUUCGCUUCAAUCACGCGACAGUCCUGAGCGGAUGGAGUGCACUGGUGUGAUCUCAGCUCAACCUCCGCAUCCCAGGCUCAGGGUUUCGCCACGCUGCCCAGACUGGUCUCAAUUCCUGGGCUUAAGUGAUCUGUCUGCCUUGGCCUCCCAUCGUGCUGAGAUGACAGGCGUGAGCCACUGCACCCGGCCCAGGCUGUUUUCAAUUCCCCGUGUUCUGCUACCUUCCAGGUGGGGCGGGCUGGGAGGCCUCUUCUAGAGGGGCCCUCAGGCUGCUCCAAGCCCUGGAAUGCAGCCCUGGUGGCCUCAGAACACCCCAGCAGGCUGGACCCGUGCCUCUGCCCCAGGGUGUAGGGUCCGGGUGGCCUGGGGUCGUCCCCUUGGGAGCUGCAUGGGUGGCCGCUGCUACUCCUACCUGGGAGGACAUCCCGUGGCAGGGGUAGAGGAUCGCCCGGUCGCCGUCCUCCGCUCCCUGGUCCAGACAGUAGGCACUGGCUUUGCUGUUUCUCACCUGCAAGCAGAAGCCCCAGGAGAAAGUCCAGAGUCACCCGAGGGUGCGGCCCCAGGGAGCUUCACGCAGCCAGCUCUGCAGCCAGCACCUAAGGAGGAACCCUGACAGCCCUCUGAGAACAAGCCCGGGCCAGACUGCUGGGGGAUGUGUUGUCAUCGGGCAGCCAACCUCCAGCCUCCAGAACAGGCCCAUCGGAGAUCAGCACAGCCUGGAUCAGGCCAGCAGCACUGCCUGGGUGGCCCCGGCUCGUGAGCAAGUGUAGAUGCUUAUUGCUUUUGUCCACCGCGUCUCCAGGCUGCUGGGUUUGCAGCAGCAGCUGACCCAUCCACCACGGCCACCACGAGAGGUCACACAGGUACCACUUGAAGCUGCGACACUUCAGCCUCUGACGCAGGGCCAGCCUCUCAGACACGUCCCCGAAGUCCACCCCUGGGUUCUGCAAGGCCAGAAGUAGGUGAGAGGAGGGUCUGAGGCAGCUGCUCCUGAUGGGAAGGACCCUGCCAGAGGCCAGCCCCGGCCUGGACAGACGGCCCCUGCUGCAGCCGGCUCGUCCACACCCACCCGGGCCCAGGAACCUCCUGCCUGAGAAGACGGCCCUGCUCACCUGGCCUUACUGCACGGCAUCAGCCUGACCUCUGGAGGGUGGAGACUGAGGUCAGCCAUAUCCAGAGACCAGCCUGGCCUGAGUAGGACAGAAAGGCCGAGGCAGGGAGUGUUCACACACUCUGCUCGAUUCGGGCUGGGACGUGGGUCCUCCCCUGCCUUCAGGCUUGGAGCUCACGCCACCGGCUCUCCUGGGCGCCUGCCAGCCGACGGCCAAUCUCGGUACCCUCAGCCCCCGUAACCGGGACAGAUCCAGAGUCCGGGGCAGGAGGGAGCCGCUCCCUCCUCGCCGAGAUGACCACACAGCACGCAGCUAACGCCAGGCUCCCUGACCCCGG